AACCUCCGCAAUGUGAGAAAUCGCGACGGGGGGAUCCCAAGUGCCAUUCUUAACGGGAUGGCUUUUCAUUAGUGUAAAGAGCUUUUGGAAUAAGAGCUGGGCAAGACCGGUGCCAGCCGCCGCGGUAACACCGGCAGCUCUAGUGGUAACAAUUUUUAUUGGGCCUAAAGCGUCCGUAGCCGGUUUAAUAAGUCUCUGGUGAAAUCCUGUAGCUUAACUGUGGGAAUUGCUGGAGAUACUAUUAGACUUGAGAUCGGGAGAGGUUAGAGGUACUCCCAGGGUAGAGGUGAAAUUCUGUAAUCCUGGGAGGACCGCCUGUUGCGAAGGCGUCUAACUGGAACGAUUCUGACGGUGAGGGACGAAAGUUAGGGGCGCGAACCGGAUUAGAUACCCGGGUAGUCCUAACUGUAAACGAUGUGGACUUGGUGUUGGAAUGGCUUUGAGUUGUUCCGGUGCCGAAGGAAGCUGUUAAGUCCACCGCCUGGGAAGUACGGUCGCAAGACUGAAACUUAAAGGAAUU
RNAcentral lists this ribosomal RNA (520 nucleotides) under uncultured bacterium. Its description in RNAcentral is "bacterial SSU rRNA". It matches the Rfam family "Archaeal small subunit ribosomal RNA", at positions 345 to 866 of the family's 1478-position model. The record is from RNAcentral.